RNAcentral lists this unclassified non-coding RNA (145 nucleotides) under soil metagenome. Its description in RNAcentral is "partial internal transcribed spacer 1". The record is from RNAcentral.
CCGAGUUUACAACUCCCAAACCCUGUGAACAUACCACUUGUUGCCUCGGCGGAUCAGCCCGCUCCCGGUAAAACGGGACGGCCCGCCAGAGGACCCCUAAACUCUGUUUCUAUAUGUAACUUCUGAGUAAACCAUAAAUAAAUCA